CUUCAUUCAACCCAGACUUGGGCCUGGACCUUUCCCUUUAUGGCCCGUGUUCCACAGCCUGGGGGCUCAGAUGUUUCUCAUAGACAAGGAAGGACUCUCCAGGUUGGCGACUCCUGGAUUCCCUAGCUUGGAAGAUACAUUCAGGUGUGCCUGCCACACAGGGCCAUUCUCAGGCUGUGCUUAAGUUCCUGCGGUCAGGUGCGGUUACCAUACACUCCUAGGUGUUCAGGCCAACAGCUGGUGCCCCGAAACUGGUCAGGAGAGAAGGGACAGGACACCGUGAGGCUGUUUGUUGUGUUCCUAAGGAAGAGAAGAGCCCUCCAGCUGCCCUGGAUUAUUGUCCGGGUGUGACUCAAAUAAUGAUCAUGCCUGUUGACACUUGGAGCUCUCAAAGGGAAUUCUGAGCAGCAAAGGAAAGGUGACACAGAACUCAAGGGCACUUGCGCUGAGCGCUGCCUAUGCAGCUGGCGAUUAAGCCAUUGCCGAAAACAACAAUAAAACAGAUUUUGGGCAAGUAGGGAAUGGUGGAUUGAAUCCAGUGUGGCAAAAAAGGAAAUGCAAA
RNAcentral lists this long non-coding RNA (562 nucleotides) under Pan troglodytes (chimpanzee). RNAcentral describes it as "long non-coding RNA NONPTRT010917". Lineage: Eukaryota; Metazoa; Chordata; Mammalia; Primates; Hominidae. The record is from RNAcentral.